This 73-nucleotide transfer RNA is filed under the name Dactylella tenuis. RNAcentral describes it as "tRNA-Pro". Lineage: Eukaryota; Fungi; Ascomycota; Orbiliomycetes; Orbiliales; Orbiliaceae. The record is from RNAcentral.
CGGAUUAGAGCCAGGUUGGAAAGGCGCCUCAUUUGGGUUGAGGAUUUCUUAUGUUCGAGUCAUAAUAAUCCGA